AAUUUAAAUCUGAAAAUUUUUAUGAUACACCUUGAGGCUUGUUAUUUGGUUAGUAUAUCCUAUGCAUCAAUCAUGAACCAAAUUACAAUUCAAAUAGUUGAUCUUAAGAGCCUCUAACUUAAUAAAAAAGGGGGAGAAUAAUGUGUUGAAUUUUCUUGAGUAUCUCAUAGAAAAUCUAUUUUGGAAUUCACUAAUGAGUCCUAAUUGGCUUGCUCUUUAGAACUUCAAUUUUGUGCCAAUUCAUAUCUCUCUAUAUAUAUCAAAUUGUGCUUAUUUCCUAAAAGAAUAAAAGAAAGUUUGUAAAAGAGCUCUAAGAUGUAUCAAAAACUGCAUAUUUUGGUACUUGUGCCCCAAUGCUCUUAUUAUCAUAAAAGAACUUUGAAGUCAUUAAAAAUUAAUGAUCCAACAUGAUGAUAU
This 417-nucleotide long non-coding RNA is filed under the name Phoenix dactylifera (date palm). RNAcentral describes it as "long non-coding RNA (PDAC_LNC022986)". The record is from RNAcentral. Lineage: Eukaryota; Viridiplantae; Streptophyta; Magnoliopsida; Arecales; Arecaceae.